AUUGAACGCUGGCGGCAGGCCUAACACAUGCAAGUCGAACGAGUGGCGGACGGGUGAGUAAUGUGUGGGAAACCGCCUGAUGGAGGGGGAUAACCACUGGAAACGGUCGCUAAUACCGCAUACCCUCAGAUGUGCCCAGAUGGGAGUGGCGUGUUGGUGGGGUAAGGGCUCACAAAGGCGACGAUCCCUAGCUGGUCUGAGAGGAUGACCAGCCACACUGGAACUGGACAACGGCCCAGACUCCUCCGGGAGGCAGCAGUGGGGAAUAUUGGACAAUGGGCGAAAGCCUGAUGAAGCCAUGCCGCGUGGGUGAAGAAGGCUUUCGGGUUGUAAAGUACUUUCAGCGGGGAGGCGUUACCCGAAGAGGAAGCACCGGCUAACUCCGUGCCAGCAGCCGCGGUAAUUC
RNAcentral lists this ribosomal RNA (406 nucleotides) under uncultured bacterium. Its description in RNAcentral is "partial 16S ribosomal RNA". It matches the Rfam family "Bacterial small subunit ribosomal RNA", at positions 29 to 526 of the family's 1533-position model. The record is from RNAcentral.